AAAAUAAUGAUGAGAAAAUAACGCUUUAGUCAUUUACAACUCUUGUAAUUACCCAUCUAGUUUGGCCUCUAGAGAAUGAUGCCUCACAAUGAUAUAAUGUUGGCACCAUUGCACUUAGUUAAGUUAUUCCCACCAUGCUAGUUCGUGUAGGGGUUCAAGAAUAGCCUCACAAUGAUAUGAUGUCGGCCAUCCUCGUUGCCUACCUCACCACAUCAUGUAUGUACAUAUGGACUCCUAUGAAUGUAAGCACGUACAUUGAACUUCCCCAUGAUAGGGUGACGUAGGUGUAGGAGUCACAAACGAUUGGAGCCCACCAUGGUGGAAGGCCUAUGAAGAGAUGUUCAAAGCAUCUCUCACUUAUCAACUUAAUAUUCGUUUUGUUGAGGGAGUUGUGUUGGGCUACAUCAAUUUUAUUUUAAUCUUAUUAAAAGAACUUGGGCCUAUCACAACCAUUGGUCCAAGUUAAUAUGAAUUAGUAGUAUAUAAUACUCCCACUAUUUCGAUGAAACAAGCGAGACUAUAUGGAACUACUAACGAAUGCAUUGCAUCCUUAUAUGGACUAUAUAGUCAUAUUAGGUCUUAGGAUGAUUAUGAACCGUUUGAUUUGAUCCAACACGAGCCUUGUGUUGGACCUUGGGUUUAAGGUAGAUAGUUGUUGAUUUUAGUUACGCGUUUAAUCUAAUUAAACCGUUAUUUCCUAUUGGGCGUUGGACCCAACUAUUCCAAUUUGCAUACAUAUAAACAAAAAGGAAUACAUGAAAUAAAGAGAAGGGCUUAUGCCCCUUUACAACAAAUUAGAAGGACUUAUGUCCUUUUACAACAAAUUUGAACUAAUCAAAUUACAUUCAAAUCUAAACUACUUAACCCAAACAUUCACAAUGUAAAGCGGCCAAUCACAUAACUCAAUUAUCGAGGCCUUUGGUUCAUAAUCACCCUUUUCUUAAUCAAUCAAAUUAACUAAGAAAGCAACUUAAACAAUUGGUUUUCGGAUUCAUAGAAUUGAUUUAAAUGGAACUAAAUGAAAUGAAAAUCCAAUUCUCAUUAAAGAGACAAAACCAUUUUGUUCUCAUCAUCUUUUGAGCCGAAAAACAAUGACCACAACAAUUGGGCCAUAAGGUUAAAACAUAAACUUUUGGGGUCACUUUGUAAAAACACAAGAGUCCACAACUUCAUGUAAUUACAACUAGAACCCAAAAAUUUCAACAAUAGCAAAAACUUCAUUAAAGGAGCAAAACAAUUUGUCCUUUUGCGUUUUUGGGCCUUAACGAAAAAACGUAAACUUUUGGGCCAAAGUACAAAUACACAAAAGUAUCAAAACUUUAUGUAAUUGCAUAAAAGGCCCCAAAAGUACCCCCAUUAAGGGGUGGCUGGUUUUGGUAGUGAUAAAGGAGGGGGGAAAAGGUUUUGGUGAAAAAUUCAAAAUUUGAAAGUGUUUUGUGCAAGUGGAUAGGUAGGUGAGGAAAAGUUGAUUGGUAUAGGUUAUAAGAAAAUGUUUUGUCAAACAAUAAAGACAUAAAUCAUCCAUCACCAAUCAUCCAUCACCAAUUAAUUAUAAACCAAAACUUUAUGAAAAACACCAAACAUUUUGAAUCAAAACUCCAAACCUUUUUGUUCUUGGUAAGAACAUCAAGAAUAUUGAAGAACACACAUGAAAACUCAUAAGAGCUCCAUGAAUGUUUUCACACAAUAAAACUCAAAUUUUCACUACACAAAAGAGGGUUAACAUCCUAGGGUACUUAGGGGUUCCAAAAGUCACUUUAAAACUCUUUUAACAAGACAAACAUGAACCCAAAAAUCCACCCUUUGGAUUUGGCCGAAUUUCCCAACAUACAUGGCACCAAAUUUUAGUUCCAAUAUUCAUGCUUAAAUGAACUACAUCUACAACAUUUGAGAUGCUAAAUUUUCAAGCAAAAUUUAUAUUCAAAAGCAAGAACAAAGCUUGUAACAUUUAUAACAUUUAAAUCACAAACCAUGAAAAACACAAAACCCAAAAGGAUUCACCAUAAACUAGACCUAGGCUCUUGAUACCACUUGAAGGAAAAAUUUUGUGCUAGCUAAGAACAUGUGAGAAUAUUUGAACACAUAUGCAAACUAUUAACACAUUAAAGUAGGCAUGCAUUCAAAAACAAUUCCAAAACCCAUGACUUUCAAAGCCUAGUGAAUGGUGAACCACAAGACUCUUU
Molecule: long non-coding RNA, 2183 nt
Filed under: Malus domestica (apple)
Lineage: Eukaryota; Viridiplantae; Streptophyta; Magnoliopsida; Rosales; Rosaceae
Description: long non-coding RNA (MDOM_LNC019386)
Source: RNAcentral